Molecule: long non-coding RNA, 4931 nt
Organism: Symphalangus syndactylus (siamang)
Lineage: Eukaryota; Metazoa; Chordata; Mammalia; Primates; Hylobatidae
Source: RefSeq, a predicted model, not a curated record
GGGAGUAGAGUAUGUGUAUCUAACUUUUAAAGUCUAAUAUAAAUGGUAUAUUUCUUUUCUUAGGCAAUUCAAGGACUUUAAAAACUUUAACAUUAAUUAUAUGUCUCUGACUUAGAUAUUAGUGUUGUUAAGAACUUUAAUUCUAUAUAUCAUACCCUGCUACCCAUUAUUUUUGUUGUAUGCAGUCAAUAUUCAUUUAGACUUGAACACAUAUUUACCCUUUGUGGAGGCUGUUAUUUCUUCAUAGAUGCCUGAGCCUCCAUCAGAACAUUUUUCUUUUGCCUUUAAUAUAGAUUUAUUGAUGGUAAAUGCACUGCUUUUAUCUGAAAAUGUCUUUAUUUUAAAUUAAUUUUUAAAUAAUGAUUUCAUUGGAUAUAGAUUUAUAGAUCAUUUAUUUUAAUUACUUUGAAAAAUAUUAUUUCAUUGUUUUGUGGCUUAUAUGAGUCCAUUCUCAUGCUGCUAUAAAGAACUGCCAGCAAUCAUUCUCAUUAAGAUGAGAGACCUCUGGACCUAAUGUAGAUUGUAGAUCAGAAGAUCCUAAACUUUGAGCCUAAUGCUGUGAUUAGGUGCGACUUUUGAGAAUUGAUGGAUGGGAGUGGGCAUAUAUUGCAUUUGGGAGGAACAUGAAUAGUCAUUGCCUGUCGGGCAGACUGUGUUAUGUUGCAUUUUUAUCUCCAAUCUUUCAUUCCUACUGUAUUCCUGUCCUUUGCCAUUUGACUUUAUUGUUUCUACUACUAAAGAGGUGGAGUAUAUUUUCUCCACUCUGUGACUUUGAGUUUGGUCAUGUGGCUUUCUUUGGCCAAUAAAGGAAAAAUGACGGUGUGCCAGUUCCAAGCCUAGAACUGAUGAGGUCUUGUAUGUCUCACCUGCUCUCUUGUACUUCUGACAUAGACAUUAAAAGAUCACACACAUACACACAAAGCUCCCUUGGCUAGCUGCUGGUCCCACAAGGAAGAUGAGAAACAAGUGAAGCAGAGAUGUCUCGGCCAAGGUGCUAAGCCAAACCCAGCCAGAGCAGUCCAGCUAAGAAUAGACACACCAUUAUAUGCCACUAAGAUUUUUUGUAGCCUUUUUACUAUGCAGAAAUAGGUAAACUUCUUGACCAAUCUCUAUCCCAGCUGUUGUGGUUUAGAGCUUCAUCAUACCUUACUGAGAUUUUUCCAAGAGCCUGCUAACUAGAUUUUCUAUUUUCCCCUUUACCUUCUUGUCUGUUGUGUACACUCUACUAGAGUUGUCUUCUUCAAAUGCAAAUGUAAUUAUCCACAAGAAACAUCCAUGGUCCUUGGUAUAUGGCCUCCUGAUCCUUCCUUGAAAAUGUAUCUCUUACUAUUCCACAUACCCUGCACUCUCAUAUUCCAGUCUCAGGUUCCAGAGGAGGUCAUACUUGUUCGUGUCUCCGAGCCAUCACCUUCACUAUUUUCUCUGCCUGGAAAACUCUACAAAUCCUUUAGGACACUUCUUACAUGUCAUCUCUUUUGUGAUAUUUUUACUUGACCUAAAGGCAAUCAUGCUGUCUUCUUUGCACCCAAACAUUUAUUUUCUACUAUUAUUAUAGUUCUUAUAGAAUUGGGGUGAUUUGUCUCACUGGGCAGGGGCUGUCUCUGAAUUCUAUGUGUACAAUGUCUAGUAUGAUGCUUUGACCUCUGCUGAGGUGCAAUAUUAUCUCAUAUAGAUCUAAUUUUAUCAAUUAUUGAAUAAUGUUGAACAUAUGUAAAGAUUGUUGUAAAUUAUUGAUUUCUGUGCAGUGUAUAUGGUAUUCUUGAUAAACCUGAAAUUUGAUUAAUCAUAAUCCUUCCUUUAUGCAUCAAAUAAUAGCAUUUGUAGUAGUAGAAUAAAUUAUGAAUGUAGAAAAAUGACAACAAUAUUUGAAGAUAGUUGACAUGCCCUCGAUGUGUAGAUAUUGUGAUGUGUAGAUAUAUUGAAGUGAAAUCUGACAACCAGCACGCUUAAAAUUAAAAUGUCAAAAAUCAAUUAUGCCUCGCUUUGCAUUCAGACAAAUUGAACUUUUCAAAAUUUAUUUGAAGCACAUCUUAUGUCAAAAGACACCUACUCUAUUUUUUGAAUACUAGUAAAAUGAGAAAACAUUUUAUGUCUCAUUUUAAAAAAGAUCAUCAUACUAAACUUUAUCUGCCAAAAUGAGACUGAAGAAUAUCAGAAUGUCUAAAUAUUGCUGUAGUGAUUGAACUCUCUUUUACAAAGUUGACAAAGAACAAAGUUGUCUAAAUUUAAUAGUAGAAAAUUGCUGGAACAUCUGCCACACAAAGGACCUUGUUUAAAAGAAGCCUGGGGAUAUAGAUGCGAGCAGAUCAGAACGAGUUUUGUAUGACAUGGGUAAGUUUAGACUUUAUCUACUAAGCAGAGGCACAUUUGCUUGUACAUUACAGCAUGAGGAGAACAGCUAUCUCUAUCCUCACUCUUCUUGUUAGAAGAUAUGCAGAUUCUUAAAUAGGGCCACCACCUUCAACUUUGUUAGGUAAACGUAGCUGACACUCAUUUUGUAUUUCAGGCUUGGCUUUUUAAGUUUGAAAGGAGAAUAGCAUAUCCUCUGAGUACGGGGAUAAAAUGAUUUUGGUAGGUGAGUAGUAUAUCUGAGAUUUGUGAGGUUGGCUUUGUUGGAGUUUCUCUCAAGAUUAAUGGUAGGUAAUAUUCAAAAGCAUUUUCCCCUAGUUUGGGCAGUGCCUGCAGGAGAUUCUAUUUCAACCUAUGCUUCAGUAGACAUGUUUCAACUGACAGGGCCCUCUUUUGUUCCCUCACCUUCAUCUUUCAUCAUUCGUUUAUUCAUUCAUUCAUUUAGUGGACAGUAGUCACCACCUGUGUGCUAAACACUGAGGAUCAUACCGAAAAGCAUGCUCAUUGAGUACAGAAGACAGAUAUAUCAAUAAAAUAAAAACAUGCUAGGAGCAGAGAAUGAAUAUACACACAGGGUGUCAUGGAGGCAGCAGAGAGGGAUAUUACAUGCAACCCGAAAAGGCAGAGUGAUAUCUGAGAAGGCUUUAUAGAGGUAGUAGGAGGUAAAAUAGAAGGUAAAAGAUGUGAGCCGAGGAUUAGAGAUGAGUAGAAAUAGGCCUGGUGAAGAGGGAGAGGAAGGAGGCUGCUAUUUCCAGAGAGGAGGCUGGAGAUGUCACGCACAGGAUCUGCAAGAGGCAGGAGGACAGGAUAUAGGUUGCAGAGAUGAACCAGGUCAGAUCACCAGCAGCCUUUGGUGCAGGCCAAGGCACUAGGAUUCCUUUCUGAGGACAAACAGGAACCAAUCUAAGGUUUUAAGCAGAUUGUAACAUGAUCAAAUUUAGAUAAUUCUGACCACAGUGAGGAGAAUGGAUUUGAAAGGAAUUAAACCAAGGGCAGGGAGGAGAUUGUUCGAUAGUCCAGGUAAGAAAUGGGCCUGAACCAGCAAAAGAAUGGAGCAAAUGUUUAGAAGGUAAAAUAAGCAGACCUUGAUUAAAUAUAGUGGAUAAAUAUAGUAAAUAAACUGAAAUGCAUCUAGAAGCUACCUGUUAAGCAACAGGUGGUCUAUGGGGUUUGAGAAGUCACUUUUAUGCUUAAUAAUUUUCCCACUGGCUCUAGUUUUCAGAGUUUUAAGCAUUAAAGAUAUGUACAGGAAUAACAGCUUCCAAAAUCUAUCGAGCUGUCCUCUCCUUUAUGAACCUGAAGUGAGUUGUUAUGACUUGUUUUUGACUACUGACUCAUCUUUUAGUUUGGGGGUUAAACUAUAACAUGGUUGGAGAGGAUUAGCUUUCUUUUCUACUGUUGCAUCUGUUUGUCUGGUACUUUAUUUCAGAAUUUCAAUGCCAUUUUUCAUAAGCAAUCUAGGUUUCAAAUUACCCUUGCCAGGUUUUUGUACAGGGAGUAUUAGCUUCUUAACAAAAUUAUCUUAAACAAUAAAUGUUUAUCAAGUCCAGAGUAUUAAGUCUAAUUAUCUUAAACAAUAAAUGUUUAUCAAGUCUAGAAAGGAAUGUUAUAAUGUUAUGAAAGAUGAAAAGAAUGUCAUACAGUUAUAAGGAAUGUUACAAACUUAUGAUGUUAUAAAAUAAAUGUAUGUAAACAUAUGUGUUUAUUAUCUACUUGUGAAUGCAUUUUGUAAUCAAGACGAGCAAUAUAACCUGAAACAUAAUAUUUUCAUUUAAAAUUAUCAUAGAGGUUCUGAAUCCCUUCUUUGCUCUUAUUAUAUAUAAAUUGAUCAUAUCAGUCAUAGCAAUGAUUUAUUUGAUACUGGGUCAUCAACUCCCUAUUAUAAAAUUAUUCAUAUGAGAAGAUACUGACUCAGAUUGCAAAGGGAAGGACCACACUGUGAUAAAAACAGGCUGUUGACUAUUUUGUGUGCCAUCGUGUGUUGUGCAGUAAAUGUGCUCUCCUAUUUGUUUCAUUAUGGCUGUGUUUUGAUCCCUAAAGCUGCUAUGUUUCUGAUUUGUUUUUUUCUUUAUCUGAGAGCAACUGGUUCAUUAAAAUCCAACAACAACAAAAAGAAAAAAACCUGCUAAGAAUGUGUCUGAAAAACGAUAACCAAAAGUUACACAUCCCACUGUAAAGUGAAGCACGUCAAGGAUCUCCCUGUGUGGUCCAGGCUGGAGUGCCGAGGUCCGAACACAGCUCACAGCAGCCUCGACCUUUUGGGUUGAAGUAAUUCUUACACCUCAGCCUCCCAAGUAGCUGGGAUCAAAGACAUGUGCUGCUAUGCCCGGCUAAUUUCUUAAUUUUUUGCAGAAACAGGGUCUCACCAUUUUGCUAAGGCUGAUCUCGAACUCCUGGACUCAGGCAAUCCUCCCCCCUCAGCCUCCCAAAGUGCAGGGAUUCCAGAUGUGAGCCACCGUGCUCAGCCAGCACCAUGACACUUUUGAUAGGAUCCGUGCAGCAUCCUGUAAUCAGAAACAUUAAUUGUUCAGCAACAAAACAUAGGAAUAGUGACAUUAAGUGGGAUAAAGAUUCCUCAUGUU